This 893-nucleotide unclassified non-coding RNA is filed under the name Hevea brasiliensis (rubber tree). Lineage: Eukaryota; Viridiplantae; Streptophyta; Magnoliopsida; Malpighiales; Euphorbiaceae. The record is from RNAcentral.
GCACGUUCUCCAAUUUUGCACACUUUCUUCAAGCAAUUUAGGCCGCCGCCCCCGCCCAAAAAUGCAGCAAUCUAUUUUCUCACUCACACUUCUCCUUCUCUUCUUCCAUUGCACCAACACACUUUCCCAAUCACCAGCCUCUGCACCAGUAGCUGCUCCAGCACAGGCACCAUCACACCAUCCAUCACACCGCCCACACAGCUCCUCGCCGCCGCCUGGCCCGACAGACGUCAUCCAAAUCCUCCUGAAGGCCGGCCACUUCAUAACCUUCAUCCGCCUAAUAAAGGCUACACAUGUGGAUUUUCAGUUAACUUCCCAACUCAACAGCUCAACUGAUGGUAUCACCGUUUUUGCCCCAACUGAUACUGCAUUUACAAACCUUAAAGCAGGUGCUCUGGACUCUCUGAACGACAAAGAAAAGUUGGCGUUUGUGCAGUUUCAUAUAUUACCAAGAUUUCUCUCAAUUUCUGACUUCCAGACUCUGAGUAACCCAGUAAAGACACUGGCUGGAUCCGAUGAUCGUUACCCAGUGAACAUAUCCACUACUGAUAGUUCAGUGAGUAUAAGCACAGGACUCACAAAAACAAGCAUAGCUAACACCGUAUACACUGAUAAACAAGUUGCUAUUUAUGAGAUUGACAAGGUUCUACUCCCUAAACGCCUUUUUCCUCCGGCAACGGCUCCAGCGCCAGCGAAGUCAGCAGAGACUCCGGAAAUUAAUCCUAAGGAUGCAUCUAGCGCAAUGAGCUCUGUUUUACAUUAUAAUGGGGCGGUGGUACUUGGAGUUGUCUUAGCUGCUGCAAUGUUAUUUCUUUGACACUUAAAGAAUCGUGGGGUGGGAGAGGGUGUUUAAUUUUCUCUUGGUAUAUUAUAUUGAGCGAUGGUGGUCAUCG